Molecule: ribosomal RNA, 682 nt
Filed under: Daedaleopsis sp. BAB-4754
Lineage: Eukaryota; Fungi; Basidiomycota; Agaricomycetes; Polyporales; Polyporaceae
Description: eukaryotic LSU rRNA
Rfam family: 5.8S ribosomal RNA (bases 225-378)
Source: RNAcentral
GUUUCCGUAGGUGAACCUGCGGAAGGAUCAUUAUCGAGUUCUGAAAGGGGUUGUAGCUGGCCUUCCGAGGCACUGUGCACGCCCUGCUCAUCCACUCUACACCUGUGCACUUACUGUGGGUUCCGGGUUUGCGUCGCUUAACUGAGAUGCUUACCGGGCCUGCGUUUUUACUACAAACCAUUGAAGUAUCAGAAUGUACAAUUGAUGUAACGCAUCUAUAAUACAACUUUCAGCAACGGAUCUCUUGGCUCUCGCAUCGAUGAAGAACGCAGCGAAAUGCGAUAAGUAAUGUGAAUUGCAGAAUUCAGUGAAUCAUCGAAUCUUUGAACGCACCUUGCGCUCCUUGGUAUUCCGAGGAGCAUGCCUGUUUGAGUGUCAUGAUAUUCUCAACUUGCAAGUUCUUUGCGGGACUUUGCAUGGUUGGACUUGGAGGCUUGCUGGUGUUCAUGUAAACUCAGCUCCUCUCAAAUGCAUUAGCUUGGUUUCUAGCGGAUCGGCUGUCGGCGUGAUAAUUGUCUACGCUGCGACCGUGAAGUGUUAUGGCAAGCUUAUAGCCGUCUCUAGCAGGGACAUCUAUGAUUGACCUCUGACCUCAAAUCAGGUAGGACUACCCGCUGAACUUAAGCAUAUCAAUAAGCGGAGGAAAAGAAACUAACAAGGAUUCCCCUAGUAACUGCGAGUG